UCCGAGGCUCCGUUCCCCACUUCCACCGUGGGCCCGUGGCAACUGCAACCUCACCGCCGUCACCAAAACUCUCCGAUGCCGCUGUAGACUUUCGCCAUCGUCUCCGCCGUUUCGCCACCAAAUCCGAAGAUUCUGCCUCAACCUUAUCGCUAUUCACUGUGGAUAUUUUCCAUUCAAAACCCUCGGGCACCCUCCAAACCCUUAGUCGGAAUCCUAACGCUUCCAUCCUGGACCUGGUAGACUGGGAUGAAUUCUCAAAGUCUCAAAGCUCACAGUUGCCGCCAAGUCAUUGGUGUACUUCACAUCUAUUGUUUUAUGUUAUACACUAAAGAAGGUUUCAAGGGGCAGAUAGUAGAUGCAGGUACCACGUUCUAUUGUGCUCUUUCCUGGAAUUCAUCUAUGAUCAAGGUACGUCUCAUGAUGCAGAUGAGCAUGUACUCCGUAAUAAUUGUCUCUCCAGAUCUUAUCCUGCUCUCUCCGGGAAUUCAUCAAUGGCCAAGGUACAUGCUAUGAUGUUGAUGAGUAUGUACUAAUUGUCUCUCCAAAUCCUAUCUUGCUUAUUGGUUCUCCACUUCUCCUAUCCAUGAAGCAAAUUAAAAGUUGUUUCUUCAGUGUUCUAUGUCUUCUUUUAAUUUGUUUUCCUUGUCCUCCUUGAUGGAAUAGGUUAGUUUCAAUUCUUUGCGAAUACCUUUCUGCCGGAAAGUGUACAAUGAAAUGUCAAACUGAUCCAACAUCCGAUCGGUUCUACAUUCUUUCUUAGUUUUUAUUAUAUGCAACACUCGACACUUCCCUUUUUGUGAGUCUUACUAUAAUAAUUUCAGCUAGAUGAAGUUUAGACUAAGAGUUGUCGAAAUUAGAAAUCAGAAAUGUGUUCUGUUAUUCUUCUAAUACAGAGGGAUCCCUAUUUCACAGACAUGCAUGUAAAACUGCUGCAUCUAAUUGAAAAGGUUUUACGAUUAUUCUCUUUGUUUGAUGUCUGUUUGUGACUUUCUCUGUUUUUGAAGGGAUAACUUUAAUAUUAGUUGUUUAUAGACAAAUGUUGCCAAAGGUUGUUUCGGAAUUACUUUAUCCUUUACAAGAAAAUAUAUCCCAAGUUGUUUGUCAGAUCAAAGGUUGUCACAGUGGUAGAUAAAAUUUUCUUAUUUAUUUAAUUGACAAAUUUAAGCGACAUCCUAAAAACUCUAGCUUGAAAUAGAGGAGUGCUUUCAAACGAUGUUAUACAAUUACAAAGGCUAAAACUUACCUGGUAAAAUGGCGUUGGAGGUGCAAUAUGUAUAGGAAGAAGUAGAUAGAACUGUUGACGAGAAUAUCAGUUAGAAUGCCAAGGAACCUAUCUUAUACUGUUCAUCCUCCUUGAUGCCUCUGUUGAGAGGAAAGAAGUUUUUAAGAUUCUACUUUUGUUUUGAUUAACAUUUUUCUAUUUUAUAAGUAAGUGCUUUUUGUUCUUCGUUAAAGCUGGAGUAGUAAUAAGCUUUUAAAUUGUUAUACUUCGGUCGAGUCUUCUGUGAAUCUCCAUCUAUUGAUCGUACCUUCAACUGCUGAAGCUCGUUGUAAACUUGUAAUACCCCGUUCUUUCAAACAAUAUUAUUUUAGUAUAAAUACCCUUUUUACCCUUUAAUACAAAUUACUUAACCUCAAAAUUAUUUUUAUGACAUUAGGCACCCUAGUAUUACUAUUUUCAAAAAAAUCCAAAUUCUUAUUCCAAAAUAUAGAUGAAACUACGGAGUAUUUUAUAACCUAUGCUUUUAUAAUCACAAUAGUAUGCCUUGAUUUAACCCUAGCCCAACCAACUCUCUUGAAUUUGAUAAAUUCCUACAAGCCCAACCCACAUUCCUUCUCUUUAACCCAUAACUCAUAUUCCCUUACCAUAUUCUAGAUCCACCUAGGGUUUUGGAUCAAAGGCUAUAAAUAGCUACUGUAGCUAUUUUCCUUCUUCAUUCCCCCUUGUUUUCACGCCACUCUCCCAAGCCAAAGCUGAAGAAACCAAACUCCAUUUUUAUUAAGGAAUCCUAAGGUUUGCCUGUUUGCGACUAAUGAGAGCGGUAGAAGCUGUAGAUCCUUUAUUCCUUUUUGUAGGAUCUUGGACUUCUUUUAUGUUUUGGAUAAGAUAUGAUUGUAGUACUAAAUACUUUACUCUAAACAUUGGAUGUAUGGUUUAACACUAGAUGUGGUUGAUGGGAUUUAUAGAACCCUAUUGUUUUGAAUGAA
Molecule: RNA transcript, 2208 nt
Organism: Ipomoea triloba (trilobed morning glory)
Lineage: Eukaryota; Viridiplantae; Streptophyta; Magnoliopsida; Solanales; Convolvulaceae
Exons: 3
Source: RefSeq, a predicted model, not a curated record